This 378-nucleotide ribosomal RNA is filed under the name Theileria capreoli. Its description in RNAcentral is "SSU rRNA". It matches the Rfam family "Eukaryotic small subunit ribosomal RNA", at positions 483 to 892 of the family's 1831-position model. Lineage: Eukaryota; Apicomplexa; Aconoidasida; Piroplasmida; Theileriidae. The record is from RNAcentral.
AUACGGGGCUUUAAUGUCUUGUAAUUGGGAUGAUGGGAAUUUAAACCUCUUCCAGAGAAUCAAUUGGAGGGCAAGUCUGGUGCCAGCAGCCGCGGUAAUUCCAGCUCCAAUAGCGUAUAUUAAAAUUGUUGCAGUUAAAAAGCUCGUAGUUGAAUUUCUGCUGCAUUGCAUUUUCUCCUAUACGAGUUUUUGCAUUGUGGCUUAUUUCGGUUAUAAAAUUUAUUUUUAUUUCCGGAUGUUUACUUUGAGAAAAUUAGAGUGCUCAAAGCAGGCUUUUGCCUUGAAUAGUUUAGCAUGGAAUAAUAAAGUAGGACUUUGGUUCUAUUUUGUUGGUUUUAGGUACCAAAGUAAUGGUUAAUAGGAACAGUUGGGGGCAUC